AUACACUUUGCAGGAAGGUAUGCCUGGUCUGGAAAAUCUGGCAUUAAUUCCUGGUUGUGUGUAAAGUACUUUCAGCGGGGAGGAAGGGAGUAAAGUUAAUACCUUUGCUCAUUGACGAUACCCGCAGAAGAAGCACCGGCUAACUCCGUGCCAGCAUCCGCGGUAAUACGGAGGGUGCAAGCGUUAAUCGGAAUUACUGGGCGUAAAGCGCACGCAGGCGGCACUUUCACGUGAACCACAUCCGCCAGGCUAUAACCGGCUUCAGUCAUG
Molecule: ribosomal RNA, 270 nt
Filed under: Escherichia coli
Lineage: Bacteria; Pseudomonadati; Pseudomonadota; Gammaproteobacteria; Enterobacterales; Enterobacteriaceae
Description: partial 16S ribosomal RNA
Rfam family: Bacterial small subunit ribosomal RNA
Source: RNAcentral